RNAcentral lists this ribosomal RNA (400 nucleotides) under uncultured bacterium. RNAcentral's name for it is "bacterial SSU rRNA". It matches the Rfam family "Bacterial small subunit ribosomal RNA", at positions 356 to 773 of the family's 1533-position model. The record is from RNAcentral.
GGGGAAUAUUGCACAGUGGGGGAAACCCUGAUGCAGCGACGCCGCGUGAGCGAAGAAGUAUUUCGGUAUGUAAAGCUCUAUCAGCAGGGAAGAAAAUGACGGUACCUGACUAAGAAGCCCCGGCUAACUACGUGCCAGCAGCCGCGGUAAUACGUAGGGGGCAAGCGUUAUCCGGAUUUACUGGGUGUAAAGGGAGCGUAGACGGCUCUGCAAGUCUGGAGUGAAAACCCGGGGCUCAACCCUGGGACUGCUUUGGAAACUGUGGAGCUUGAGUACCGGAGGGGUAAGCGGAAUUCCUAGUGUAGCGGUGAAAUGCGUAGAUAUUAGGAGGAACACCAGUGGCGAAGGCGGCUUACUGGACGGUAACUGACGUUGAGGCUCGAAAGCGUGGGGAGCAAAC